AAUAAUAAACCAUUAUUUAAUUGAAUGGCAAUCGUUGUAGAACAAUGAGAAAUCAGAAAAUUUUAUUUUCUGAAAAAUAGGAAGUUAAUUACAUAGGUAUGUGACUAAAAUUAAUUAUCUAAAUUCUUCCAAAAAUCUGGAAGUCCUGAUUCUGUGAACGUAAUUCUAGACUUCCAGAUUUUGGGAAGAUUAAGAUACUCCACUGGUUUAUAUUAAAA
RNAcentral lists this long non-coding RNA (218 nucleotides) under Marmota monax (woodchuck). The record is from RNAcentral. Lineage: Eukaryota; Metazoa; Chordata; Mammalia; Rodentia; Sciuridae.